UACGGGGGGGGCAAGCGUUGUUUGGAAUUAUUGGGCGUAAAGAGCUUGUAGGCGGCUCAUUGCGUCAACCGUGAAAACCAGCAGCUCAACUGUUGGCUUGCGGUUGAUACGGGUGGGCUGGAGUUCGGUAGGGGAGACUGGAAUUCCUGGUGUAGCGGUGAAAUGCGCAGAUAUCAGGAGGAACACCGGUGGCGAAGGCGGGUCUCUGGGCCGAUACUGACGCUGAGGAGCGAAAGCGUGGGGAGCGAACAGG
This 253-nucleotide ribosomal RNA is filed under the name uncultured bacterium. RNAcentral's name for it is "partial 16S ribosomal RNA". It matches the Rfam family "Bacterial small subunit ribosomal RNA", at positions 524 to 776 of the family's 1533-position model. The record is from RNAcentral.